GGAAGGCAGACCCGGGGAACUGAAACAUCUAAGUACCCGGAGGAAGAGAAAGCAAAUGCGAUUCCCUGAGUAGCGGCGAGCGAAACGGGAUCAGCCCAAACCAAGAGGCUUGCCUCUUGGGGUUGUAGGACACUCUGUACGGAGUUACAAAGGAACGAGGUAGAUGAAGAGGUCUGGAAAGGCCCGCCAUAGGAGGUAACAGCCCUGUAGUCAAAACUUCGUUCUCUCCUGAGUGGAUCCUGAGUACGGCGGAACACGUGAAAUUCCGUCGGAAUCCGGGAGGACCAUCUCCCAAGGCUAAAUACUCCCUAGUGACCGAUAGUGAACCAGUACCGUGAGGGAAAGGUGAAAAGC
RNAcentral lists this ribosomal RNA (354 nucleotides) under Enterococcus faecalis. RNAcentral describes it as "partial 23S ribosomal RNA". It matches the Rfam family "Bacterial large subunit ribosomal RNA", at positions 174 to 522 of the family's 2925-position model. The record is from RNAcentral. Lineage: Bacteria; Bacillati; Bacillota; Bacilli; Lactobacillales; Enterococcaceae.